RNAcentral lists this ribosomal RNA (366 nucleotides) under uncultured organism. Its description in RNAcentral is "bacterial SSU rRNA". It matches the Rfam family "Bacterial small subunit ribosomal RNA", at positions 526 to 896 of the family's 1533-position model. The record is from RNAcentral.
CGGAGGAUCCAAGCGUUAUCCGGAAUCAUUGGGUUUAAAGGGUCCGUAGGCGGUUUUAUAAGUCAGUGGUGAAAUCUGGUCGCUCAACGAUCAAACGGCCAUUGAUACUGUAGAACUUGAAUUACUUGGAAGUAACUAGAAUAUGUAGUGUAGCGGUGAAGUGCUUAGAGAUUACAUGGAAUACCAAUUGCGAAGGCAGGUUACUACAAGUGGAUUGACGCUGAUGGACGAAAGCGUGGGGAGCGAACAGGAUUAGAUACCCUGGUAGUCCACGCCGUAAACGAUGGAUACUAGCUGUUCGGAGCAAUCUGAGUGGCUAAGCGAAAGUGAUAGGUAUCCCACCUGGGGAGUACGAACGCAAGUUUG